CGAAACAAAUCCAACAAUGAACAACGAACACAAAAUUGUAUGGUUUGAUGGUGAGGUGUUUGUCCGUUAGCUGGUGACUCUAUUUACACGGAUAGAACUUUUAUUGGAAAGCAUAUUAUGCCAAAACUCGAAAUUCGUUUAAGUUAUAGAUUGAUAGACGUGUCUACUCUAAAAUAGUUGUUUAAGAUAAGUUGUAUACAUUUAAGAAGAAAAACGAGCACCGAAACAAAUCCAACAAUGAACAACGAACACAAAUUGUAUGGUUUGAU
This is a long non-coding RNA of Acyrthosiphon pisum (pea aphid), 269 nucleotides long. RefSeq lists it as uncharacterized. The transcript is spliced from 3 exons. The record is from RefSeq and is a predicted model, not a curated record. Lineage: Eukaryota; Metazoa; Arthropoda; Insecta; Hemiptera; Aphididae.